UUAAGCACUGAAAGGUGCGAUAAGGUCUCCCUGGAUCUUCUCUUCUCCAGGCUGAACACCCCAACUCUCUCAGCCUUUUCUGCUAUGUUGGUCAUUGGAUGGAGACUUGCUAGCCAGUUCAGUGAGCAGUUUUGUUUAGUUUUUAGAUGUGCGAUGCCAGGUCCUGUGUUGGGCUUAGUUCCUGUGGUUUCUCCAAAGAUACGCAGGUGAGAGCUGAAGGUGGAUGGUUUUACAGCAAAAAGGGGAAUGGGUGUUUCCAGCCAGCACUCUUAUCUGCAGAGCCCAUCACUGGGAUGAAUUAAAAAAUACUGACUUCCACCAUGCUCUCUUCUCAUUUCUUAGUUGUUUCUCAGGCAAAGCUGUUAUUAAUUCAGGAGGAGUCUGCCGGAGCAAAAUCUCUCCGGAGUCCAAAAUAUUUUUCAGAGAGUAAAUAUAAAAAUUAUUCACCUACCACAGAAGAGCAUCAGCCUCUGGGUGGAAUGCAGGAGCUGUUUAACAGUGUGCAGGAACAUUUCCCCGCAGGUUUGGACAGGAGUUUUGAAGGCUUGUGUAUGCCCAACUGAAACUACAACUGAAAGCAGGAAGCAAUAAGCUGGGCCCCCUCCUUUGCCUUGGUCCGGGUUGGGCUUGAAAGGGGCAGCACCACCUACCCAAGCACCACACCGCUUCUCUAGGAUGCUGGGAGAUGUUUCUGGAGCUUGCCCAUCUGACCCAGUCCUCCACAUGAGAUCUGGCAAGAUAAUUGCUCCAAGUGUCUGGGGAGCAGCACCAGAAGCAACUGCAGGGUGAGGAUGCUCUGUGAGUUUGAGGACCUCAUCUCCAAGAAUACAAAAGCUCCUUCUCUCUUCCCAAAUCACAGGGAGAAUGACCAUCUCGUACCUCCAGCCCUGGGAACACCCUGUGCGUCUCGGUCCAUACAUCCUGUCGCAAUCUGAUACCAGGUUGUAUCUGCUCUCAUGCCUUUAUGCCAACCACAGCUGCAGAAGAUCAAGUGCUCUAGAAUCCUCAUGGAUGGAAAUGGCUGCAGAAAUGCGUUUCUGUGCUUUUUCUCCAUGAGGAUGAAAGGUCCUGGUCUGGCAGGAGCAAGGAAUGAAGCUCUUGGUUGCUCAUUCUAUUGGGCUCUGUGCAGAAAGACACAACCUCCCCCUGCCUUGCUUUCUUCACUGCUCCUAAAAGGAUCAAGGACAGAUGAGAAAUAGAGGGUUACCCUCCACUGUCUUGGUUGGGAGGGGACUUGAGAAGCUCCUGGCACCACCACCUCUGAACUUAAUGCUCUCUGCCUCAUCUGCCAUCCGUUGUGCAUCCCGCUCCCAGCCCGGGCAGCGGGCUCCUGUUAUACAGCACGCCACAUUUUUCUGCUGUGGUAAAUCAGAGCCCCCUGGGAUCUGGCAUUGUGCUUUUUUUUUCCCCAGGUAUUUUUGUCUGUGAACCACAGAAAACUGAAUAGCAGGAAAUGAAGUGCAGAUUGAGAACAUGGUUGAGUGCACUUGCUAAAAUAAAACAUUGGGGGGGAGGGAAAGAUUCUUUUAUAAAUAGAAAAUGAAUUAUGUUUACUUUUUAUUGAUGAAGUAUUUAAUUGUGCUGAAAGUUAGAGAGAUGCUCUUAGCAGCAUCUCAGACUGUGCGUUGACUAGAAAUGCCAAUUGGUAUUUGGUACUAAUACCUCACUAGGUCAAACUCACCUGUUUUGUGGCUGAGAAGGGCAAAGGGAUGUCAGGAUUUUUUGGCGAUAUCUGACAUGCCACAGUUGUGCCAGGAGGGCCAGAGAACUCCACUGAUCUCUUCUUCAUCACGUUGUGUCACGGAGCUGUGCCAUGGAGCCUUGGAGCCUGUUUGCACUCUGUUGUGCCUCUGCCUUUUUUUCUUAAGCAAGGCAAGCAGUACAAGCGAGUGCAGGGUGUGGAGAUAAGGCUGUGACCUUUUAGAUUAUUCUGUUGCUCUGCUACAAAUGCUGGAUGGGCCCAGGCAGGCAGCUGGGUGCUUUUGUGAGGUUAAAUUAAUCUCAUUAAUUCAGAUGUCUAAAAGUAGAAACCUUUAGUCGUCAGUGACUGGGACUGCUUUCUUGUGGGGGGUAGAUCUCUUAGAGUCCAUCUCACGCCUCUGGAGCUGUCCUGUUCUCCCUGUGUUUCUGAAUCACUAUCUGAAAGACUGUAUUUUUGUAUUUGUUUUGAUCCAGCGAAGGAUUAUGAGGCUUUAAAAGCAGAGGAGACUAAGAUGCUUGGAGUCUCCAUGAUAGAUCUGUGCACCUUUACAAGAAGCAUGGGUGCGACCAAGAGGUGUGCUCAUAAUGAAUGAAAUUGGAGCUGCUUUUGUUGGGGCAUUUGGUUGGUUUUAGCUGUGUAAAGUGUCCGGGGAAGCUUUUAAGCACAUGCCAGAGUCAGUGCGAGCUAUAACCACCUGUAUGAAAUCUUGCUCCAAUCAGACCUUAAAUGUAUAGAAAUCGAACACACUGGUUGCUUUUCAAAGGGACCAAUUAUUGAUCAUCCAAAUGUCUAUGGAGCAAAACUGUCACAAAGGAAACCCAGGUGAGCAGCCCCAUCUCAACCAUCCUUCACCCUUUUCCAGCUGUGCUGGCACAGGGAAAGCUGUCGUUUGGCCAUGAGAGCUGGUGGUGCCACCUUUGCUUCCAGGCCAGAUGGGAGCUGGGGAUCUGCUGGAAACGUUCUGGCUCUUCCACCUGUCCCUAAGGCCAUGGAAUAGAGCAUGUAGAGAUGAUCCAGGCCUCUCUGUCUCAUCCAUCUUACCUAUUUACACCAAGUUGCCCUUUCCGAAAGUCACAUCUUGACAAUGCCUUAGCAGAGGAACAUGCCCAGUUACACAGCCUCCAGAUGAAACAGCCACCAGCCUGACAGAGGAGAGAGACCUCAUCUGCAAGGGAAUGGCAAAUUCAUUUGCCUUCCUUGGGGAUAAAAGCCCCUUGGCAGCUUGUUACGAGCUCCCAUGAGAAGACACGAAUCUUGCUGAUGGGAGUGGGCAGUCCCUGUGCCGGCCAGCGUGCCAGUGGGAAGUGGAAUUGGGAUUCAGGCAGAGGAGAAAUUCUAGAGGGGAGAAUAGAUGCAAGAAAUUCCUAGGAAUGUUACAGAAAUCAACAUCCCCCCCUCUGCUCCUUCCAAACCAACCCACCUAAAAAAUGCCGUUUUGUGGGCUAUUUUGGAAAGGAGUCCAUGCCUGGGGAAUUUUUGGCUGAUGCUUAUGGCUUUUAGAAGUUUCUGGGAGAUCAGACGAAUAGAAACAGGAACCAGAUGGGACUUCUAGCUGCUGGAAAGAAAAGAAGAAAAAAAGGGGGAAAAAAAAAAACAUCCAUCCCUUGUUUAAAAUGUGAAGAGCACUUGUUCACUUUUGGGGAGUUUCCCCUCCACCUUGGGUUUCUUAUUUUAAAGUAAUUUACCCCAGUUCCAUGAUAUUCUCAUAGGACAUCUGUCUCUUUUGUUGUUAUUGCUAGGAACUUUUCUUUCUUUUGCAAUACAAAACAGUUUGUUCUUAGGAGAAUUUAAGCCUUUCACUUAUUAGAUAAAAAGAAAGUCAGUGAUUGGUUUUGUUCUUGCAGCAGCCUCAACAUCCCUUGGCCAUUUACUCACUGAGUUUAUCUCUGUGAGGCUGAAAAAGAUGAAAAAAAGGCAGUGGUAAUGAAGAGUAGAGCAAAAUUGGAGACAGGUUGAAAACUAAGCACAUGUAGGUCUUAUUUGAGGUAAAUGGCCAUCAAAGGGAGAGUUGCACCAUACUGGAACGCACAUGAAUCACAGGUGUGUGGUGCCUGCAGUCACCCGACUUGUUGAGCGUAGUGUUGGAUUUGUAGUGUCUUGGGUGUUGGGUUUUGGGGUUGUGGAUCUGAAAAACAGGCCUGGUCCAGUCCCAGGCUUCAUUUUUUUCAGACCUUGGCCCUGGAGCUGGUUGAUUUCUGGAAAACAUCCCAGAUGCUGAAUAGAGGCCAAGGAGCAUUUUCCAGGUUCUGGGUCCAAGCGGGACUCUGGGGCGGGAGUCGCGGUCCAGCCACGAUCUGAUGCUGUGCUGGGACUGGGCUCAGUUGUGCUUCAUCCUUGCAGCCUUUUCUUUCCAGGUUGGUGGGCAAUGGGAUGGUGAAACAGGGUAUGUUAUGUAGUUUCCCUGCUCUGCUCGGGAGAACUGUGAAAUCUUAUUCUCCAGCUAGUACGAAGGAAGCAAAGUAGAUACCGCCUCAUAGAUGAAGAUGAUAAAUGGAGAUUAUGAUACUUGUAAGCUUUGCCACUAAUCUUCUUUUAAGGGUUCUGCUUUUAAGGAAUUCUUUAAAUGAUUCAUUAGGGUCGGUUGGUUGCGCUGGUGUUGUUUUGGUUUGGUUGAUUUGAUUUUGUUUUUGUUUUUUCCCCUUCCAGUUUUCCAGAUAUUUACUGCUUCCUGGGGAAAAAAAAUGCACUCUUCCCAGGUUUCUAUCUUGUUUUAUAGCCUUCCUUUUCUUGAUAAUAAUUUCAUGUUAUUUCUGCAGCCAUUCCCAAGAUAGGGUCAUCAGUACAAGGCAGUGACCCUUGAUAAACCUUCACCCGUGGUUUGUAAGUCGGCAUGAGAGGAAAUCCGUCCCUGGGACUUAAUAACGUGUAAACCCUAUUUCUAGGGAACUGAUUGGGGGCUCCACAAACAACGUUAGGACUCUACUCUGUGCUCUGAUAGUUAUUAGUGGCAAUGCACAGAGACAACUGUAGAUAUUUUAAGACACAAUAGUUGAUCUUUUGUGUACGUUUUCAAAUAUGCAUGUGUUUGAACACGUGGCUUUGGUUUCAAGGUUUGUCACAGAUGGACCUAACUAAACCAGCUGCUUGAACCCCCUAGUAUGGUGACCAAUUGAUUAGAUUAGUUUAAAUUAAAAAAAAGUGCCCCAAAACAUAAGGCUUUGGGUUUGAGUGUCCAAUUUGAGUUCUGACAUUUGUGGCUUUCUUUUUUCCUUUGGCUCGGGCUGGUCCGGCAGGAUGUCCCAUAUUGGAAUGCUGCUCAGUUGUUGUUGUUCUUUGUGGUUCCAGCGGGCUGUUUUUUUCAGAAAUGUCUGGAAGGAAAGAGGCAUAGGGGACUUGGUUCACAGGAUUUGUACAAAAGCUUUUAUUUUCUCUUUUUUCCCCCCUUCUUUUUGCUUCUCAUGGCUCUGAUGUGCAAGUGCUCUUGGGAGUGACACGCUGAGAUUUGUAGAGCAAAGUGCUUAUCGCAUGACUCAGGUGAUUGCUGUCGCGGUCAAAACAGUGUCAUCCUAGGAAUUUUGUUUUAAUUUAGCUUCCAGCUCAAACAAAAGUCAUCUGAGUAGGCAAGCUUUUACUGGUUUCACUUUGGCUUCCCACGUCGGUUUAAUUUGGCCCAUGUUUGCUCAAAAUGUCUCCAGCUGUCUAGAAACUUGUUCCUAGCUUGCUGGAACAUUCACAGCCCUUUUGGCCAGUGUGACCUUAGUUAUAAAGGCUGGCUGUUGGUUUUUUUUCAGAUCAUUUUUAUUAGCUCUAUUUAUAUAUAAGUCAGCCCACAUAAUUGAAAGAGACAAAUGUGUUGGUCGUUGUCCUUGCAGGUUAUAAGUUACUGCUGUCCACAAUGCUCAAGCAUGAGAUCUGCCAGGGAACACCACCUCAUUUUGUUCCAUGGGAGUUUUUGCUAAUAUUUUGUUUUAUAUUAUCACUCUUUUUGUUUCUCUGUUGGAAAGUUUCCAUGUGUUUCACACUGAGGACCAAAGUCUCAGAAGAUUAAAGGACUGUCUUUCUGCCCAAAUAAUAGGAAUUGGAUGCUGAACUGUGCACUACUCAGAAAAUGAAAUGCCUUCUAAAGAAGAAAGAAGUGGCUGGAAGGAGGCAGUGAAAAUCCAUCAGAUUUGCAUGACUAAUUAGCUUAUCCAUUAGUUAUCCUUGUGUUUACUUGUAAUGAGAAUCUUCAAAGAUUAUUCUGUAUUUGACAUGGAGCUUAUUUUUUGCUUAUGCAAUUUUUUCUUUCCCAAUACACUACUGGGAUGUGUGCUGUACCUUGACAUACAUAAUUCUCUCUUAGCCCAAGUGUGCAUCCUCUGGACUAAGUGCCUACACAGACCAGGCUGCGCAUGAGACGUUUUCUCUUUCCCCUGAAACUGGGUCUGAUUUUGCAGAACUUCUCGGCAACCAGAGCCCGGCCUCGUUUCAUGAGAUGCGAGUGUUUCUCCAUGUCAAGUCCUGUUUUUCAGUUAUUCACCUUGAGUUAUUGACCUCCUCAGUUCUGAAACAACUGCUCCUUUUGUGGAAGUCAGUAAUGCACUGUAAGGAGAAAUUUCCUCUGUGUGCCUUUCUGAUAGUUUCCUCAGUGUAUGAUAUGAUUUCGUAAGAGAAAUGUGACUUCUGUAGUUGUUAUUUUCAGAUCUUCCUUGCUCAUAAAAUUUGAGAAGAUAAGUGUUGUCAUCUUUCAAAAAUUAAAGGCCAUCUUUAAAUAGCUCCACAAGCUUCUGCAUAUCCUACAAAUAUUUUUUUUAAUUAUUUUGUGACCGUGGGUUAUGAAUGUUCAUAUGCCCAAAGCAGGACACAGGAAGCAUGUUGCCUUUGGAUUUUGAAACACUAGGAAUUUGGAGGAGUUUUUGUUUCAUUUUUGUUUUGAAGUCUCUGUUAUGUCAUUCUUUUAGAAGGGUUAGUGGAACUGCAAAAGAAGAUGGAUAUAAGAAGCCUGCCUUUUGACAGAUCUUCCCAAAGGACUGGCUUUGGUAUUGUUCUCUGCCUGCUCAACUCAACCAGGCAGGUUUGUACCAUUUUCUGUUUUCUGGCAUUCACAGACUUCCACUAGACAUAUAAAACUUAACUACAAAAAGUCACCUUUUUAAAAAAAAUUGAGCCUGAUGAGACCUUUAUCUCUACAAGGAAACAAAAUCUGCAUUUGUGACCUAACUUGUCAGCUUUAAGAUAACUUACAUCUGAGCCUGCUGUUAUUGUGGAGGCUGAUUUUGCCAGCUCCGUGAUAUUUUUUCCUUCGCCAAGAACCUGCAGGGGUGUACUGAAUGUAUUUUGCCCAGAAUCAAAGUUCCUGAUGUAUUCGGGACUUUUAUCAUCACCUACUUCAGACUGAAUGAGAGGUGAACACUACUGUCCUCUCCAAGCACUUGUCCAUCAUUUCUGUUCCCUGAGCUGCACCUCCACAACAAGGAUGUUCUUGGGAUGAGCCUGCUCCAUGGGGUGCAUCCCCCAAAGGGAGACGGAGAGGAGAAGUGCUGAAGAUGACAAGGAGUCCGGCUCUGCUCCAAGAAAGCCUGAAUGGCCCCGAUUCAGCGAAGUCCACCCAUCGUUCACCUCCAAGCGCCCGAACCGCCCUGGGAGGAGACGCGUCCCUACGGCUGUGGUUAAGUGCUUUGCUGAACGGGGGCCAAGGUCCAGCGUGGAGCCACCCAGCUCCCGCCGGCUCCCUCUUUGGCGCCGCACCGUGGAGUCGGCCCUGGGCUCGGGUUGGAGGACGUUUCGAAAUCCUGGCCCUGACAGAGAGCAGAUGCAUUAUUGGGAAGCCCUCGGGUCAUGACAGGGCUAAUAGUCACAUUCCUGGCUGGGAUGGCGAAAGAUUUACGCCGGGCGCUCGCUCGCCUCGCCCUGCACCAGGCCGGCUCCCUACUUCACCAGCCCCCUCGGCUUUAAUUGUUGUGUUAAUGGCCCUUUUAUUUGAAGCAGAUCCCCCGGCUUACAGAGGAGAAUGUCAUUAUGUCGUAUUUUAGAUGUAUUUACAUUCUCCUUGCCACAGGGAUAACGUUCUAAUUAUUUUCUAUAGCUGACAGCACCAGCGUCUCUGGUAUUAGAGACCCCUUAGACCUGAUUACAUGGUCUGUUUUUCUUCAAAUCACCCACAAAUGACAGUGAGGAGCAGGUUUAUUAUCAAUUGACGUACCUUUGCUUAACGCAACUCGCUCCUGAAACAAAUGUCCUGGAAAGAUAAUACAUGUUUAGAGCAUGUGUCUUCCCUUGCGUGAAGGCAGAUGGGCUUAGGAGGUCAAGCCAACAGUUGACCUCUCCUGAGUCCUCAGCCUUCACCGCACGCCCCCAGCACAGACACAGCACGGUGCUGCAUAGCGUUCCCCUUGCAAACCAUCCCCAAAGGCCAUCGAAAAGGGCCGCUGUACAUUUUACAGCUGCCGUGUCAAAUGGUGGUGGUUGACAGCAUGGGAAGGGGAUGGAGGUGCAGCAGGGAAGGAAGGAGAAGUGGAGGAUGUUGGCUUAGUUUUUAAUGAAGUGUGAAGAGGUACCAGAGUCUGGUCUAGAUGGUGGGGUUGUUCCCAUGUGAGAAGUUGUUUUCAAGGGCUCCUCACUGGAGAGAGCUGUGAGACACAUGGUGGACUUGAUGGACAGGGUGGUGAGAGGAGACAGCAGGGUGCACAGGGCUGGUGGACGGAGGUUGGGGACCACAUGGAGAACAGAGUUGUGAUAGAAGAUGAGACAGGAGAGCCCUGACAGCUUGAUGAGAGGAGGUGGGAUGGGGACAAGAGCAGAGAUGGUGCCUUCAGAUCAAUGGGCCGUGACGGGGAGUUGGCUGGGGAGGUGCGGGAGCACACAGAAGUAGGGACAGCAAUUGAGAUAAGGAGAGCGAGAGACACAGUUAUUAGAACAGAAUGAUUUGAUUUAUCCCGAGUCAUUUAUUCACCAAUUUUUCCCCCUGAGAUCUCAAACAGACUGAAGUGGUUUCAAAUGUUGUCAUUAUUUAGAACAAUUCAACAAAAUGUUUGUUGCUUUGAAAAAAUGGGAGGGGUGAGAGACCUAGAAAAGAAAGAAAGGAAAAAUAAAAGCCUGGAUGGUCUGGUUUGCCACAUUUGAAUUUUAUUGCUGAACUGGGAUGGGUGAAGAAAAAUCUCUUUUUCUGUUCUCUGAGCGGGAGUUUCACUUACAAAGCCACUUCUGAUGCGAAUGCUUGCCCAAGCUCAGAGGCUGUCUCCGUGUGUAUUCCAACAUGAAACAGCAAAAAGCAAGUAUUUGUGGGAGUGAAACCCUGUCGAGGAAAUGUUUGUGCACCAGGACAUCUCAACACAGAGACAAUUUCAUUACAAAAUUCAGGCGUGUCUUCAUGGAGACUUCUCCUUGCAGCUCUAGAGAUUAUUUUAUACUUGGAGCUGCAGGGCACACAAGGCAUUUUAAAAGCAAAUAGGCAAAGUCGCUGCCCCAAGGGAGUUACAAUUGAAGUUGGACCAAAGCAGAGUGAAAAUGCUGGCUGCAUGGUCUUAAAAACCAGAAGGUGGGCAUUUCUAUUUGGAAAGCCAAGGAUUCCAUUAAGUUAUGUGGUUUUUAGCCUUGGCCUAAAAGAAAUGGGUCUCGCUCCUUACCCUCAUGACAUUGGAGCCGAUCUGCAGGGUUCAGUGAAAGGUGACAGCAGGGUAGAGGUCUCAAAGGUACUGUGUUCCUGGUUUGUUUUGUGAAAAUAAAAAGCCAGGUGGAAGAGAGGCAACCAAACCAUCAUUUCAACUGAAAGAAAAGCUUCUGCAUAUCCAGAAGCAGUAUAACUACUCUUCAAAAACUCAGAGAGGAAAAGGAAGAUGCAGCUGUUUUGCAGCCAUUAUGGCUGCAGCUGUUGGAGAAGUUUCCAUCACAGCAGGAACGUGAGACUUGCACCCUUUAAGACCCAGGAAAGUUCAACCAUGGGAACAUGAAGUCCAGGAAAACAGGAUUUUUAUUUCCACCUCUCUUGAAGUUACCUUUUGUUUUCAGUUUACUCGUGUUCAUUUGUGGAUGGAGGUUUGGGGAAGCUUCUUUUGGCUCAAAGAACCGUGAGUGAGCAGAGCAUCUCCUGCCUCUGCUGGAGAGCGUUUUGGGGGUGGAGGUGCUGAUGGAUCAUCAACCAGUUGGCCACAGUGUAAACAGGAGUUAGAGAAGGAUUAGUUACAAUGUUCUUACCACUGUUUUGAUGUUGAACUGACUAAUAUAACUGAGUGUCUGCUGCCCUGUUUGGCCAAUUUGAUCAAUCUGUUGGCCUCAGUAUGGGAUGAAGAAUGGCAAAGUGUAGAGCUGGUUCUGUACCAAUGUCUGCGGAGUUUGACUUGAAUAUUCAAAUACAUGUGUCCUGUGCAGAUUUGCUGCCCUGUGAACGUCUGAGCUGUAAUAAGGUGAGUGCUACUAGAAAGCAAAGGUUUAAUUAGCUCUGCUAUUUCAAUGCUUUCCUGAAGUGCAUUUCAAAUCAUACACUUAGUUGUGAAACCUGUCGUCGAUGCUGCGUUUGAUGGUUACAGAAGUUGUGUGGUUUUUCCUUAUCAUUUUUUCCCGAGGAGCCAGCCCUGAUCAGAUUUCUUAAUUUUCAGAAUGCAGCACAAAAGAGUGAAUUGCAAGUACUCUGUGAGUUAUUAGAGGAGAAUAUUACGAGUAACUUAAAAGAGGAAAUACAUGCUAGAAUUUUGUGUCAUGGUGGCUAAUUGUCCAGUAGCAGAAGGGAAAAGAAAGGACUAAAUCGAUUAGUCGAGCUUGUUCAUUGAAUGGUUUUUGCUGAUAAGUUUUGUGUAGUUGUGCUUGGCAGACCAAAUGUUAGUCCAAAGAGCAUACCAGAGAUUUGGGAGUUUCUUUUAUUUUGUAAAAUAAAAACAAUUGGAUCACAGCAACGAUUGCAAGAGAGGCAACGUAAUAUGCUUCUGUAGGGCUUUUCUGUGAGUGAGUCACAAACUGUACUGAUACAGCGCUUUUCUGAAGGGGUCGAUACGUGGUGCAACAGAAAGAUAAGAGGAGCCAUAGUUUUGCCAGAAGCACCGCGAGGCUGUGGACACGCACACCAAGACAUGCAGGAGCAAAACUCUAGAAAAGUUUAGGAUCCUUAAAUCACUUGUGGUGGAGCCCAGAAGUGGAAGCACCAGAAGGAGCCAUUGUGUGGGCAGAUUCGGGGCGCUACACCACAGAAUGAAGCCCCUUCUACGCUGGAGACACCGUCAUCGUUAUCUCAGCUCCAGUGGGGUCUUGGCGGGUGGAGCCUCACAAGUCACAGUCCUGCAUGGAGCUCACUUUAUCUUCAUCAGGAGGUUGGAGGCUGAGUCAGCCCUGCUGGGAUUUGCACCAGUGGUUCCAGGAAGUCUGGGUAUUUCAAACCUUAGGCUUAGACCUCUAAUCAUCCCCUUAUCUAAACUGCCUAACAUCUGAGUCUGCAAAAUUGGGUUGGAAAUCUCACACAAACACACUUUCCCCAGCGGCAUUUCUGCAUUUGUUUGCCAGUGGAACCCAGGACUACAGAAGGGCACAGAAGAUUCAGCUUUGAAACCAAAGGUCUAAUCAAAGUGUUGGGUGAAGUCCUGGUCCUUUCUUGAUUGAUGGUCUUGCUUACCGCUUGCUGACAGCCAGAGAGGUUCACCCUUUGGGGCAGAAACCACAGAGUUAACACUCAGAGAGGCAAGUGUUGACCCUCUUGGGCCAUAAGUUUAGAGGAAUCUAGUUCUUUUAAAUUGAUGCAUCUGAUGGGGAUGGAAGAAAGGGAUUGAUUGCUUUCUUGUUACUUAAAUAGUCUCAUCCUAAGACCCCAACUGCAAUAAACAUAGAAAUUGUUUAAAUUAUCCAGGGUAUUUUUUUUCAACCCAAGAAUUCAGAGAUAAAUGAUGUGAGGUCCUACAUCAAGCCAGCAUCUCUGAAUCUAUCCCCAGGUGCCUUCUCCAACCUCACUUUGCCACAAAGCCUAAAGAACUCAGAGAGAUGAAAUUCUUACAGGUUUUUUGAGAAUAGCUAGUUGAAUGGGGAGGACAAGCUAAAUUAGUUCCCCUAUUAGGAGGCGGUUGCGGUAUUAAUUCACCCCUUAUCAUGCAGCAGAGGCUGCGUCAAGGGGAGGCAAAGGACUUUCUGAUGUCCCCCAGUUGUAGAAAAGCUCCAGAGAAAGUUCUUGCUUUAUCACCCAUCUUGUUGUGCAGUGGCACCUUCAAGAAUAAACAAGCCGCCUUUAUUUGUUCCUCAUCUCUUAUGCUUGUUUAUAUGGCAUUUUCAUUGGUAACCUGUGUCCAUGUGGAAGUUGUUCUUUCUUCACCUGAGCCCUGUCACUGAAGGAAAGGAAUAUCCCAGGACUCGAUGCUACAUUGAGUGGGGUGAUGCACCAGAAAGGGAAGUUUCCAGUUUUGACCUCUAGUCAAGAAAGAGGACUGGUAUAAAUAAUUCCUCACAAAUCCGUGCUUUGAUAUGUUUGGCUUCUUUCAGAGUAUCUGUGGGCAGAUGCAUGAUAAAUUUCUCAUUUUAACCAAUGUUACAAAUCUCUGGAGAAAGCGACUGCUGUUUGCUGCCCAUCUAGAGUAGCUAAGCCAGAUUCCUCUGUUCUGAUUUGUCAGAUAGGGUGACUGAUGAUGUUUGUAAAUGUAAAUUUUAAGUUUCCUCAAAUUCUAGUGUGUAAAGCUUCAAAAUAGUCAUUUUCUAUAAACAUUGUUCCUUGAAAAAGUUCUGCCACUUGAAUAUCUGGUGGAGAUGAAUGCACACUGCAUGCGGAGUUGGCAAAGAGGCACCCAUCUAUAAACAUACAGUUACUAUUCAUGGAGAUGUCUUUUAUCCUCUUUCCAGUUGUACAAACACACCACCACCACCACCCCCGGCAAUAUUGCAUUGUAAAUUACCUUCCCUUUAAAAGCCCUCUCCCCUUAGUGCUUUUCAUUCAGGAGAUGGGAGACAGCCCUGGGCUUGUUGUCUUCAGAUCAAAUACGAGCUGCAGGCUCCGUGUAUUCACCUGAAUUAUACGAACCGCAGUGCCGUAGCUAUUUACUUGUUGUGAUACAUUUCCUUUUCUCGAUUAACCAGGCUCUGAAAAGACACAUCUGUUUCAGCAUUGCCCCCUCAAGGCAGCCCAUCAGCUUUCUUUUUUCCCUCACCUUUUCCUCGCCUUACCCUCUGUGGUCUGCUGCAUUAUGUUGUCUUGUGUUUGUGAUUGGCAUUAGAUUCCUGGUGCAGGGACUGUGCCAUAGUGAAAAGUCACCUAUGGGCAGUGGAUAUGAGAACUAUUCAGGGAGAUGCAAGUGCUGCAGCCUGUUUUGUGGCUAAAGCCCCAAAGGCUGGGCUAGUGGCUGUUUCUAAUGAGUUACAUAGAGCCUACCUAUAACUUCUUAUAAUGUUCCAAGGUCUGGGUACCCUCAUUUUCUUAUUAACUUCACUGGUGUUCAGGACCAGGCAGGUCUGGUCCCCAAUACUGAACUAAUGCACUGGCAUCCUUUAGCAUUUUAAAUGUACGCACUGAGUGCUACUUUUAAAAGAAACUGAACAGGACCGUGAUUUGCAGUUAAAAUAAAUACAAGAUAAUUUACUAGAAUACACGAUAGGAGUCACAACCUCCACAGUGUAUUUCUGUUAUACGGCCUGAGUACUGGAGGAGUUUAUUGCAUGGUUCACCAUGUGGCAUCCAAAAACGUUCUGGAAACAGCUGUUGAUUUGCAGCUAGGAAUUGUUUUAGGGAGAAAGGAGAGCAGGAGCCCUUGGCCAAUUUGAUGAUGUGGAACACUGUGUUUUCCCCCAAACCCCUGUGCCAGAGCUGGGGUGGCUGUGCUGCAGGGCUGCCCUCCCCAUGGCCAUGCCCCACGCUCCUCUCCGCAGCAAAAGCAGCAGUGCUGCUGCUGUCCAUCCUUGUAUUCUGCUCUCAGGCCUCUCUUGCCCUUUGAAGAUUCCCCAUUGUUUGGGCUAUUAACAUACUUUUGGGGUGGAUGUUUAUCUUCUUUUUUAAACUUUUACGGCAGGCAUGUUGUUAAAGAAAACCCCGAGAAGCUCUUUGCAAGAAAGCGCCACCGGAGCCCUUUGGUGAGCGUAAUGCAACUCUGAGCAGCCCUUCCCUUUAUUUGAUCAGCUUCUAAUACCUAACAGUUCUGUAAGUAAACAUUUAUAGAUCAAAUCAGAAGCUCGCAAAAGGAAGCACUCUUGAUAGAUUAGAAGCUAAACUGAUCUAAAUUAGAAGAGAUGCAGAGAUAACCUUGCCUGGCUAAAAAGCAUAUACUAUCGGUUGCAUGCAGAUAAUUAAAUGAACGAGCCCUUUUCUAUUGAACAACUGAUGUGCAAUUGAUAAACUUAAUUAAUAAUUAACUUUUUAAUUAAAUAUCAAUUUAAAACAAGUGUGGUAAUAUGCCACUCGCAUUUAAUUUUGCUGCCUUUUCUUCAUUAAAGAACCAUCAUUAGGGUUACAGGUAUCUGUUUAAGAUGCCUCUGUGCACUGCGCAGGGAAUAAAUGUGUCCACUGGGCACCCGCCAGCGAGGAGAUGGUGAUAAACAGCAGUGACUGGAGACAAAGCCGGUGAGCAACCUCAGAGAGGCAGAAGGAGCCAGAGAUAAAGGGCACAUCCCUGGCCACGGCUUUCUUAGCAGCAGAAGGCCUACGUGGGUUAUGUUUGCUAUUAAAAGAGGCUGCGGUGGAUAUAGAAGAGCUGAGCCCUCCUUGUAACCACUCUUUGGGAAGAAGGUCCUUCCCAGCGUUAUGAAUGAAGUGGCUGGAUGAAGCUAAGACUGAACAUCUAAACCCUGACCUGUGUGAGGGGAGAGAGAUCCAUCAGUUAUUGCCUUGUUUCAGCAAAACAAUCCCACGCAAGUGAGGGAAAGCUGCAAUCUUUUUCCAUGUGUCUUCUCACAUGAUGCCUUAGUGCAAUUCCUAUUAGUGCUAAUGGGGUAAUUGGCUCCCCUCAAUGUGAACUCCCUAUAAUGCAUCCACAUAACUCGAUUUGAGAGUGUAAAUCCCAUUAGCCUGAAUGGCGAUCUUUUCUGCCUCUAAUUUACCCAUUUGAUCCUGCAAGCACUAACAGCCGAUCUCGUCUCCCUUUGAAAGCGAUAAAUAGGCAUCUGACUUCCGCUAAAUGAUGUUUGCGAAGGUGCACGACGGGCAUCCCACCUCCAGGCUGGUGCCCCUCUCCGUGCCUCCUCCCCAUCAGUCUGCCCUUGCAAACAUCUUACAAGAAGGGAUGUUGCUGCGGGGCUGCUGGAGAAUUCCUGCUUUUCAUCUGGCCCCCCGGGGCCUCCCCAGCUCUCAGACACAUGUGGCGGCUGCAGCCGCGCAGCACGGGACGGCAACAGGUGCGUGGGGCUCCCCAGAGAUUCGGGCGCUUUCUGGGUGUCCGUGCAAUCAGUUGCUGUGGUGCUGGAGUCACAGCAGCUCCUUGAUCCACCGUCCGCCACUCUUGUUGGAUUCCUGACAUUUUGAAUUUAUGAAUAAACGCACCACAUCAAAUGAGAAUAAUCGAGGAGCUGACGGCUUCUUUGCUGCAGAUUCUCCCAUCCGCCAUCUGCCAAGUCCAUGCCUCGUCCUAACUAUGCUCCUUUGUUUUUCAUAGAAUCACAGAAUCAUUUUGCUUGGAAAAGACCCCCAAGAUCAUCGAGUCCAACCAUUAACACCGGUGCUAAACCACAUCCCUGAGAAUCUCAUCUAUGCAUCUUUGCCCCUCUGUUUGAAAAAUUACCGAGAGUGCUCAGCUGUAAUUCACAUACCUGAAUACAACAGAUGCUGCUUGAAGCAAACAGCUUCUGCGCAGCCUUGGCAUUUGGGAUGGUUCCUUCCACCUACCUAAUAAGCACUUACAAGGGGCAAAAGCAUAUGCAUAAGGCAGGAAAUUUGGCUUCAGACUGGGGAAAAAAAAAAGGUGAAAGGCUGCAAUGGACAUUUCCACCAGCCCUGUGCCUGCUAGCAACAAGGAAGAAUACUUGAGCACCUCACUGAGGAUGUAAGAAAAGAUUAUGGGUUGCCUUUUUUAAUAUCUUGAUUUGUUUCCAACUGAAAUGAGUAGGGUAGAGGAGAAGCCAAUGGGCUCUUGACUGUCCUUCUGCAAUGUGGGGCUUGAAGCCAACUGGAAACGACUCCUCUGAAGGUACCAUCUUGGCCACAGCACCAGACACCUAUCCGGUUGGAAUACACCGCUGAUGAAAGGAUGAUUUCUUUUCCUGCCCUGCCUCAUCAGAGGAUAUUCUCGCUUCUCCACAUAUGAAGGGAAGAUGGGUCCCUCCCGUGGGGAAUGUCACUGCUGGCCACCGCUUCCUUUCUGAAAGCCCCGUUUGAAAAGGAGGAAAUAGUUGGUGGAGGAAGUUCCUGUAAAGGAAUCUUUCAAAUCCUUAUUUUUGCCUUUUUUUUUUUUUUUUCAGGGGACACCCAAUAGGAUGGAAAUAAUUGGUGUGGCUGCCUCAAGUGAUGGAAAAAUUGCAGAAAACUGCAAAGGGUGUGACAGCAAGAAAACCGGCUUAUUCUCCAUUUAUUGUACAAUAUUUAUCAUCAACCCGUUUUGUAUAUUUUGCUUUCUUUUGUGUAAUCUUAUCAUCACUGGAGUUGAAAACGAUGUAAUUUUUGCUCCUUUGAGUAGUUGCCAAAAAAGCACUUACGUCGGAGUAUUAGUGUAUCAUUUGGCUAGCACAUCACAUAAUGGUUUUUUUACAGCAAGUAUUUAACCAUGUUUUCAUCCUGUGGGAAAGAAUGAUGGGUCUGUUUUGUAAAAAUAAGACCUUGUGGCAAUGUGGACAUGCAAGAGAUAGAAACAUAAUGCAACAAAUUAGUUUCAACACACAGAAAUGAAGUAGUCCAGGCUCCAUACAUUCAGCAGUGCUGGUUUUUCUCUCUCCCUUUUGUCUCUCCCUUUUUUCUCUUAUUCUGAAAUGUAUUGUUGGAUUUUAUGGGAAAACUUUGCAAGCAGAAACUCUUAGAAUUCAACAAGCCACCUACUUGGUUUGGGCACCCAAGAGGAUGUUGUACUUGCGUACACACAUAUGUUUGUGUAUAUGUGUGCACACACAUAGCUAAAAAUAGUGUAAGUGCAUGUGCAAAAGAGAGAGUAGCUGUGGGUACCAAGCAGAUAUGAUCAAAUUCAUCCAUUUUGUGUGACUUAGUGCAAGUUCAUGGUGUUAUGGAGAGAACCAAAUUAGCUUUAUUAUAGACUGAAAAGAUACUUUGGUUUUUAGCAACAGAAGGAGUAUUGUGAAGCAGGAGAAAUCUGAUCGUUCCAAUUUUUUUCUUCAGGUGCUUCAGAAAUAAUCAAGCAGUUAAUUAGUACAAUUUGAGGUGUAUUAAUCCUUCCCAAAUAGCGAUUAAGUGAAUCUCUGUUAUAACCUGAAAUCCACUAUUAACUUAAAAACCGUUGAUGCCACGAUCCACGUCUUUCCAAUCUGUGUGUUUUACAACCUGCCCCCAGGAACGGUCACUCUCACCUCUGCCACGGUUGCUGUUUUAAAGUUCUCCCAUUUCUAAACUUUAUUCUUUUUAUUAAAAUGCCCCAAUGCAUUGCGACUAACAUUUCUUUUUCUUUGUAUGUAAAAUUCACCAGGAUCUCUCUCAGCUUUUCCCAAGUAACUGUGUAAUCUGUUUGAUGUCCUUCUUUCCAGCAGCCACUUACGCGUUUGUGCAGUCACAGGCACAUUUGUGUUUUGUCAUGUCUGGAAAUGCCAAGUACGUGCCUAACUUUACUUAGGCGAGGAGUGGAGUUGAGCAUAUGGCUACAUGGUUCCUAAGUAAAAUAAAAAAUGCCAUUCAGCAAAUUUAUUAGGGCUUUAUAGUGAGUUAUCAUCAGUAGUUGCACUAAAAUACAACUCAGAAAAACAGACUCUGUAGCAGAGACUUUAUGAUGGAAUAGGCUUUUUGUGUGUCUUGUCUUUGCUUGCUAAUUUACAGCAUUCCAGAACUUCCAAAAACAUCUAUGAAUUGUUCUCUGAAAGCCUUUCAUCCUGAAUGGUGCUGGGAAACCACACCGCUCGCUGGUGUUGUGAGUCAGGGUGCUCAAGUCCUGCCCUUUGGGUGCCCAGGUGUGAGCAGAGCUUCACCUUUCCUGUGCUGUAAGAAGAGUGAUUAAAAGCCAACAAGCGAAGAUAUGGCCGUGGAAGAGCAAGACCUUCCCAUAACAGGACAGCAAGAGCAAUUGGGCUGUUUCUCAUGCUGCCUUGGGAGCAUCAACUGCAACAGAGCGGACACUUGGGGCAAGAGCUGUAACGCAGGGAGAAGAGCUAAUGAAUGACCUUUGCGAGAGCACGAUUGAGUCAAGCCCACCAAAGAAUGAUAGGUGAGGGCUUGUGUUAUCCUUGAUAAAAAUCUUGUUGGUAUUUGGGGCAGAAUGGCUCUGCUGGACACUUAGCUUGCCUCUUCCUGUGCCCUUCCAUUCCUGCUUUGCCAAAAUUCUGGUGUUUAGUUAUGCUUGCUCCAAAUAAAAUAUUCUGGACUGGCUAUGUUUCCUGAACUUUAAGGCAUUUCUUUGCAAUGUACAUGCAGAAGUGAGACUGCUCAUCGCUGAGCAUCUUCAGGGUCCUUGUCCUGUGCUGCAGUGACCAUCACCACAGGGCUGUGCACAUCUCUAACCUGCCUUGGAAAAGUCUCUGGAACAGAUGUCUUGUGCAGAAAUAAAUAGAAAUAAAACUUAAGCUGCUAGAAAAAUAUCUAUUUUGAUUUCUGCUGGAGAAACACAUCCCACCAUGGCUGCCCCCCCUCAAUGAAUUCACACUGAUUUUUUAAGAAAUAUGCUAUAUUGCAGGAUCUUGCAAGAUGCCAGGAGAUGAAGGACUCUGCGGAGCCUUGUGUUACAGUCAGAGUCCAAAAAGAUGACUUCCCCCAAGAGGGAAAAAUUUGUUUUCUUGUUUAAUGCUGUCUCUUGUUUAGACUUGGUGAUUUUAAUGGCCCAUUUAUUUUUUAUUUUUAUUUCUAAGUAUGCGUAUCUUCAUGCCCAAAAUACUUUGUGAACUCUGCUUUUUUUUAAUCCCUGUAAAGUGUAUCUUUCAGGUAAGUUCUUGUUUCUUGCAUUUUUUGUCUAUAAUUGCAGAGAUGUAAGGGAAAGAACAUACAGUUUUAUAAAGCAGUCAUCUGACAUGAAGUUAUGGAGAACAUACUUGCUCUGCCUGUUCCCUCUUAAUAUUCUGGCAUACACACACAUAUAUAUGAGUAUGACUGGCAACAGAUAAAGUAGGUUAAUGGUAGAGAAUGUUGAAGGGUAGGCGCCAGUUCUGAACUAUUUUUAUGUGUUUUUCUAAACUUUUUAUCACCUAAGCGGGUAUA
Molecule: long non-coding RNA, 18845 nt
Organism: Columba livia (rock pigeon)
Lineage: Eukaryota; Metazoa; Chordata; Aves; Columbiformes; Columbidae
Exons: 6
Source: RefSeq, a predicted model, not a curated record